UACGAAGGGGGCUAGCGUUGUUCGGAAUUACUGGGCGUAAAGCGCGCGUAGGCGGUUCGCAAAGUCGGGCGUGAAAGCCCUGGGCUCAACCCAGGAAUUGCGCUCGAAACUAGCGGACUGGAGGCCGGAAGAGGGUAGUGGAAUUCCCAGUGUAGAGGUGAAAUUCGUAGAUAUUGGGAAGAACACCAGUGGCGAAGGCGGCUACCUGGUCCGGAUCUGACGCUGAGGCGCGAAAGCGUGGGGAG
This 245-nucleotide ribosomal RNA is filed under the name uncultured bacterium. RNAcentral describes it as "partial 16S ribosomal RNA". It matches the Rfam family "Bacterial small subunit ribosomal RNA", at positions 524 to 768 of the family's 1533-position model. The record is from RNAcentral.